RNAcentral lists this ribosomal RNA (468 nucleotides) under uncultured bacterium. RNAcentral's name for it is "partial 16S ribosomal RNA". It matches the Rfam family "Bacterial small subunit ribosomal RNA", at positions 28 to 507 of the family's 1533-position model. The record is from RNAcentral.
GACGAACGCUGGCGGCGUGCUUAACACAUGCAAGUCGAACGGAAAGGCCCUGCUUUUGUGGGGUGCUCGAGUGGCGAACGGGUGAGUAACACGUGAGUAACCUGCCCUUGACUUUGGGAUAACUUCAGGAAACUGGGGCUAAUACCGGAUAGGAGCUCCUGCUGCAUGGUGGGGGUUGGAAAGUUUCGGCGGUUGGGGAUGGACUCGCGGCUUAUCAGCUUGUUGGUGGGGUAGUGGCUUACCAAGGCUUUGACGGGUAGCCGGCCUGAGAGGGUGACCGGCCACAUGGGGACUGAGAUACGGCCCAGACUCCUACGGGCGGCAGCAGUGGGGAAUAUUGCACAAUGGGCGGAAGCCUGAUGCAGCAACGCCGCGUGCGGGAUGACGGCCUUCGGGUUGUAAACCGCUUUCGCCUGUGACGAAGCGUGAGUGACGGUAAUGGGUAAAGAAGCACCGGCUAACUACGUG